This 1536-nucleotide ribosomal RNA is filed under the name Klebsiella pneumoniae. RNAcentral's name for it is "bacterial SSU rRNA". It matches the Rfam family "Bacterial small subunit ribosomal RNA". The record is from RNAcentral. Lineage: Bacteria; Pseudomonadati; Pseudomonadota; Gammaproteobacteria; Enterobacterales; Enterobacteriaceae.
UUGAAGAGUUUGAUCAUGGCUCAGAUUGAACGCUGGCGGCAGGCCUAACACAUGCAAGUCGAGCGGUAGCACAGAGAGCUUGCUCUCGGGUGACGAGCGGCGGACGGGUGAGUAAUGUCUGGGAAACUGCCUGAUGGAGGGGGAUAACUACUGGAAACGGUAGCUAAUACCGCAUAAUGUCGCAAGACCAAAGUGGGGGACCUUCGGGCCUCAUGCCAUCAGAUGUGCCCAGAUGGGAUUAGCUAGUAGGUGGGGUAACGGCUCACCUAGGCGACGAUCCCUAGCUGGUCUGAGAGGAUGACCAGCCACACUGGAACUGAGACACGGUCCAGACUCCUACGGGAGGCAGCAGUGGGGAAUAUUGCACAAUGGGCGCAAGCCUGAUGCAGCCAUGCCGCGUGUGUGAAGAAGGCCUUCGGGUUGUAAAGCACUUUCAGCGGGGAGGAAGGCGAUAAGGUUAAUAACCUCAUCGAUUGACGUUACCCGCAGAAGAAGCACCGGCUAACUCCGUGCCAGCAGCCGCGGUAAUACGGAGGGUGCAAGCGUUAAUCGGAAUUACUGGGCGUAAAGCGCACGCAGGCGGUCUGUCAAGUCGGAUGUGAAAUCCCCGGGCUCAACCUGGGAACUGCAUUCGAAACUGGCAGGCUAGAGUCUUGUAGAGGGGGGUAGAAUUCCAGGUGUAGCGGUGAAAUGCGUAGAGAUCUGGAGGAAUACCGGUGGCGAAGGCGGCCCCCUGGACAAAGACUGACGCUCAGGUGCGAAAGCGUGGGGAGCAAACAGGAUUAGAUACCCUGGUAGUCCACGCCGUAAACGAUGUCGAUUUGGAGGUUGUGCCCUUGAGGCGUGGCUUCCGGAGCUAACGCGUUAAAUCGACCGCCUGGGGAGUACGGCCGCAAGGUUAAAACUCAAAUGAAUUGACGGGGGCCCGCACAAGCGGUGGAGCAUGUGGUUUAAUUCGAUGCAACGCGAAGAACCUUACCUGGUCUUGACAUCCACAGAACUUUCCAGAGAUGGAUUGGUGCCUUCGGGAACUGUGAGACAGGUGCUGCAUGGCUGUCGUCAGCUCGUGUUGUGAAAUGUUGGGUUAAGUCCCGCAACGAGCGCAACCCUUAUCCUUUGUUGCCAGCGGUUAGGCCGGGAACUCAAAGGAGACUGCCAGUGAUAAACUGGAGGAAGGUGGGGAUGACGUCAAGUCAUCAUGGCCCUUACGACCAGGGCUACACACGUGCUACAAUGGCAUAUACAAAGAGAAGCGACCUCGCGAGAGCAAGCGGACCUCAUAAAGUAUGUCGUAGUCCGGAUUGGAGUCUGCAACUCGACUCCAUGAAGUCGGAAUCGCUAGUAAUCGUAGAUCAGAAUGCUACGGUGAAUACGUUCCCGGGCCUUGUACACACCGCCCGUCACACCAUGGGAGUGGGUUGCAAAAGAAGUAGGUAGCUUAACCUUCGGGAGGGCGCUUACCACUUUGUGAUUCAUGACUGGGGUGAAGUCGUAACAAGGUAACCGUAGGGGAACCUGCGGUUGGAUCACCUCCUU